UACGUAGGGUGCAAGCGUUGUCCGGAAUCAUUGGGCGUAAAGCGCGUGUAGGCGGCUCGCUAAGUCCGCUCUGAAAGCCCGGGGCUCAACCCCGGGAGGCGGGUGGAUACUGGCAAGCUCGAGUCCGGAAGAGGCGAGUGGAAUUCCUGGUGUAGCGGUGAAAUGCGCAGAUAUCAGGAGGAACACCAAUGGCGAAGGCAGCUCGCUGGGACGUGACUGACGCUGAGACGCGAAAGCGUGGGGAGCAAACAGG
RNAcentral lists this ribosomal RNA (253 nucleotides) under uncultured bacterium. Its description in RNAcentral is "partial 16S ribosomal RNA". It matches the Rfam family "Bacterial small subunit ribosomal RNA", at positions 524 to 776 of the family's 1533-position model. The record is from RNAcentral.